Lagenorhynchus albirostris (white-beaked dolphin) is the source of this 5116-nucleotide RNA transcript. It is a transcript of the gene named BCLAF1 and THRAP3 family member 3, with no coding region annotated. The transcript has 15 exons. The record is from RefSeq and is a predicted model, not a curated record. Lineage: Eukaryota; Metazoa; Chordata; Mammalia; Artiodactyla; Delphinidae.
AGAGUCCCGCGUACCACACACACAAAAAAAGCUGUUCUGUGAUACCCUUUGCCCCCACUCACCCCUUAAAUUUGAAGUAUUAUAAUGCUGCCCUAGGUUAUAUUGAAAAUGAUAUCAGAGUUAUGAAAUUAGGUGAAUGAAUGAAUCCACACAUGUUGAAGGAGAAAAUAUUUAAAGGCACUAUAUAUAAAGCUGAGGGGGACAGAUAAAAAGCUAAAUAAAACACAAUCCUUGGGAUCAUGAUAAAUAAAACAUAGUCUUUGUGCCCUACAGGCUACAGAAUAUCCAGGCAGCUAGGGAGCAUAAAAGCUGCUUUCCAAAUUUAGAUGGCAAUUUUAGAUGUGUUGCAGGAUGUCAACUAUUCUCAAGUGUGCUAAAGUCCAAUUCUGCUGACCGAGCAUCUACGCAAAUGACCAGGCAGUCUCUUCAGAGUCAUCUUUAUGAAGGUUGGUUAACUUUUAUGAGGAUUGGUCUCUUCACCUGUGAAAUGGAGUAGUUUUAUAGUCCUGGGGCCAGCAGAAUCCGCAUCACCUGGGAACUUGCUAGAAGUGGGGCCACCCCAGAAGAGAACCCAGCAUUGUGUGUUGUAACCAGCCUUUCAGUGUAAAAAGUGGAUAGUGGCUCACAUGUCAAAGGAUGGCACGGUCACGCUCUAGAUCCCCCAGGUGGAGGCACAGGUCUUUAUCACCAGUACCUAGAAAUUCUGAACACUACAAGCAAAGACCUGAGCAUUAUGGCUAUGAAUAUAGGAAGGAUCCAAAAAGACCUGUCACUUGGAGAAUGGACAAUGAGAAACAUGGACAGAGUAAACCAAGGAUUCCUUCUCGUGAAACUCUACAUUACCGAUCUUAUGAACAUAGAUCAUCUUCCCCAAACAUAAGAAGAAACUCUUUAGAAAAUUUUUAUACUUAUAAGCCUCCCCAAGUAUAUUUACCAGGAAGAGGGGAUGAUAGUAACAGAAGAUCUCAGUAUAUGCCCAAAUACUCAGAAGGUGUACUCUACAAGGAGCACCAGAGGAAUUGUUAUCCCCAGAAAGUGCAAGGAAGGUAUUUUCCUGAUGACCACAGAGUUAGAGGAAGUGGAAAAGGAGGGAAACCACCUCUGAGGUCAAUAGCAGAUUCUUUUAGAUUCGAAGGACAGUGGCAUGAAGAUGAAUUGAGGCACCAGAGGAUACAAGACGAAAAAUAUUCUCAGUCACUUAGAAGAGGCUCUGAAGAUUUUGAGAAAAGGAGCUCUUUUCAGACGAGGUAUCCUGAGGAUCGUGAUUUCAGAAAAUAUGGACACACAUCAAAAAGACCUCAAGACGUGGAGAGGUAUGAAAACAGAGAGCCUCCCAGGAGCCCGCAGUGGAAGUCCAGGCAUUUUCUCCCUUCUUACCAAGAGAAGAAAGAUCAAUGGAACCUUGGACCCCAAACUCUUCGAUAUGCUCCGAGGGAAUUCCCAGAGACCAGUUCAGCAGCCAAGGUAUCCUGUGACUAUCGCCACAAACAUCGUAAGACCUCAGAUGGGGACCAGGACUUUUAUGAUGGAAGAACUCAGAAGUACUCUAAGGAGGAAGAUAGAAAAUUCGGUUCUCAAAAAGGCCCUGUAAAUAGAGAGUCCGAUUGCUUUAAUGCUGGAAGAGGGAGAGAGACUGAAGGUGGGCAAGUCAAAGAGCCUUUUAAGCCAUCUAAGAAAGACUGCACUACCUGCACUCAUUCAGAUAAAAGCGACGUUGGUUUGAGACCCUGUAAUGACAAACGGAAGGACAAAAUAAAGAAAGAAGGGGCUGGCAGAAAAGAGAGCAACUCUUCCCAUAACCGACUUGAUAAGAGUAAAAAACUUUCUGACUCGAAACCUUCAUCUUCCGUUCUUCGGAAGAAAUCACUUACAGUUAAAGUAGAUGUGAAGAAAACAUCCAGGGUUGCUUCUAGCUAUUCCACAGAGAGACAGAUGUCACAUGAUUUGGUUGCUGUUGGCAGGAAAAGUGAAAACUUUCAUCCAGUGUUUGAACAUCUUGACUCAACUCAGAAUACUGAAAACAAACCUACAGGAGAAUUUGCUCAGGAAAUCAUAACUAUAAUCCAUCAAGUUAAAGCAGAUUAUUUUCCAUCACUUGGAAUUACUCUACAUGAGCGUUUCUCAAAAAUGCAAGUUACACAAGCUGCAGAUGUAAAUGAAUUUAAAUUGAACUCAGAUCCAGAAAUUCACAGGAGAAUAGAUAUGUCUUUGGCCGAGCUUCAGAGUAAACAAACUAUGGUAUAUGAUUCAGAACAGACUCUGGUCAAAAUAAUAGAUCCAAAUGACCUACGACAUGACAUUGAAAGAAGGAGAAAAGAACGGUUACAGAAUGAAGAUGAGCACAUUUUUCACAUAGCUAGUGCUGCAGAGAGGAGUGAUCAGCAUUCCAGUUUUACAAGGUUGAAGAAUACUCAUGUUGAUGGAUUCCAAAAAUCUACAUGUUUGGUAAAAUCAAAUUUUAGAAAAUUUAUUCAGAAACCUUACUUGAAUUAUCAUACUAUGCAGAGAAAAGACGUCAUUACUCACAAACCAUUUGGAAUUGAGGGAAACCAUCAAAAUACAAGAGGCUUUAGAAGAACUUUUAAGACCAACUUUAGAGGUGGCACAUUUCAGCCCCAGUAUAAAUCAGGCCUACUACAGAAGAGCUUGUGCAUUCAGGCUAAAUAUCAGCGUUUACGGUUUGCUGGUCCAAGCGGAUUUAUCACUAAUAAAUUCAGAGAAAGAUUACUGAGGAAAAAAAAGGAAUAUACAAACAUUGCCCCAGCAAUCUAAUCUGGAAUUGUUACAAGUGGAAAUGACACUACAGGAUGAUAUUUGGGAGCAUCUUUUUGUCAAGAGUUAGAAUUGGCACUAAAGCACUAAUACUGCCCUCCUCUGGCCCUGGAAGACAAAGGUAAUAAGACACAGUUCCUGCUCUGAGACACCUAAUCGACUGUUGGGGAAGACAUUCACAGAAACAAAGAACUGCAACCUAUAGUGUGAAGUGCUAUACCGAACAUAAUAUACUAAAGGUUGAGAGAGAAAUUGGCAUUCCUGGUUGAGCAUCCCCUGGUCACAUUUCUUUCUUAUUGGUUUCACAGACCUCAAGAGGCACUAUUCCAUUGGUGGUUUUGCUGGUUUUAAAAUUUGAUGGGUUGGGGGAAAUUGGGUAAAGCAUACAUGGGAUCUCCGGAUUAUUUCUUAUAGCUACAUGUAAAUCUACGAUUAUGUCAAUGUAAAUUUCAGUUUUUAAAAAAUCAGCCAUAAUCUUAUCACAGAUAAAACUACUAUAAAUAUUUUGGAGGAUACAUUUUUUUCUGUUGGAAAAAACUAUUAUAUUUACAUUAUAAUAAUUUAUGUAGAUGCAUCAUGUGGACCAUCUUUUACCCAAUAAAUCCUACAUUUUUCAGUAGUUUUUAGAAAAAGGAUGGGGAUACUUUCAGGUGGAAGGAAGCAGGAAAAGUAAAGCUGGAUCAGAAACUCUCCUUUUCCAUUAUCUGGCAAACUCAGUAACCGGCAGCCACAGAUUCACCAGCAGCAACCGAACAAGGAAGCACGGAGAAGAUGCCAAUGCAGCAAGGUGAGGUGUGACUCGCAGGCCCCCUCCACCCCUUAAGUAGCACUGAGCGAAGAAACUGGAGUGAUGUGGAGCCCUGGUAUGUACAAAGGGACUGGUGCGGUGACCAGGUCAUACAGAGGAGAGUCAAGGAAAAUCCUUGGGAAGGUGAGGGCUUUGCUUCUGUCUCAGGACUUCAGGGAAAGGGGAAAGAUUCACCAGGACAAGGCGUUCUCUGGGUUGCAGAGCAGCCUGGGGAAGCCAAAGCUCACAGGAUAAGAUACACCUUUUGGUCCAGUGAGCACCAGUUCUGGACACUUAAUGGGAACCCAGACGAGAGAGGAUACCAGGUUCCCCAACGAAGUCCCACCAAAAGGAAUGGUUAUUAGCUCUGAAUCCGUUAAAAUAUACAACUAAGGUUUUAAAACUGAGGAAUCAGAGAUGUAGAAUAGAAUGUGAAUGUUAUAAAUCGUGACAAAAAUGGAAGUACGUUAAUCAGUCGGGACAUGGUGGAGGUGGGGUGAGGUGGGGUAGGGGAAAAUGGGAUGAAUUCUAAGAACUAACCACCUCAUCUUUCAUGGGCAGGUGUCAUGUCAAGUUAUGGUGUCUAAGAUUGUAUUAUAUAAAAUAGAAAAAACGUAGGGUCCAACCUUAAGUUUUUCAGUCUUUUUCUUGACCUUAAUGCAGUGGUUCUCAAAGUAUGGUUCCCCAACCAUCAGCAUCACCCGUGAACUUGUUAGAAAUGCAGAUUCUUGGCCCCACCCCUGACCUACUGAAUCAGAAGCUCGGGGGGUGGGGCCCAGCACAGUCUGGUUUUUUUAAAAACGGAUAUUAUGUAUGUAUGGAUGGAUGGAUGGAUGGAUGGAUGGAUGGAUGGAUGGAUGGCUGUGUUUGGUCUUUUGUUGCUGUGCGUGGGGUUUUCCUGGUUGCAGUGAGUGGGGGCCACUCUUCAUUGUGGUGCUCAGGCCUGUCAUUGCGGUGGCUUCUCUUGUUGUGGAGCACAGGCUCCAGGCACGCGGGCUUCAGUAGUUGUGGCAUGUGGGCUCAGUAGUUGUAGCUCACGGGCUCUAGAGCGCAGACUCAGCAGUUGUAGCGCACGGGCUUAGCUGUUCCGCGGCAUGUGGGAUCUUCCCGGACCAGGGCUCGAACCCAUGUCCCCUGCAUUGGCAGGCGGAUUCUUAACCACUGCGCCACCAGGGAAGUCCCCAGAAGUCUGUUUUAACAAGCCCUCCAGGGAAUUCAGAUGCUCGCUCAAGAGUUUGAGAAUCACUGGCUUACUUAGGUCUUUUAGGAACCAGCAGACCUUAUGAUGAAAAAAUAUUAAUCUGAAGUUGAGCAGCACCUUCAGUUUCAUUUCUAAUUUUUUUCUGUAGCAUUCAAAUAAAUUUAACUAAAACUUUUAAAGAUAAAAAGUAUAUCAGUUUUCACCAUCAGUAGUGUCUGUACAUGAAUAGAGAGGUCCAGACAUAUGCCCACCCACUGUUAACACAGAUGGUUUUUUAAGUGGUGGGAUUAUGAGUGACUCUUUGUGCUUUUCUGUAUUCUGGUUGAAUAUAAUGAACAUUGUAUCAUUUUUAUAAA